CCGCACUGCAUAAGUGACUGGACGUCCUGUUUGGUGGUCUUCUAGUCUCAUUAUUGUGCCAGAUGAACCUCAGUUUGCAGAAGGGUUGAGCGAGACCACUGGCUCCCCCCUUUCGAAGGCUGAGAACAAAC
This 131-nucleotide small nucleolar RNA is filed under the name Hippocampus comes (tiger tail seahorse). The record is from RNAcentral. Lineage: Eukaryota; Metazoa; Chordata; Actinopteri; Syngnathiformes; Syngnathidae.